This 1208-nucleotide long non-coding RNA is filed under the name Strigops habroptila (Kakapo). Its description in RNAcentral is "lncRNA (ENSSHBG00005019097.1)". The record is from RNAcentral. Lineage: Eukaryota; Metazoa; Chordata; Aves; Psittaciformes; Psittacidae.
CAUGCUAACCAUACGGCAUAAAAAAAGACUGGAAAGAAGUAUUUCAGAAUUGCUUUUCAAGUGACUCGCUUUACAGAAUCAGACUGUUUAAAAAAAAAUAGUUGUGAGAACUGGUUUUCAGCUAACACUAAGCAUGAAGUAAUUUUCCUGAGGAAAAGUGAAAAACUUUGUAUCUGAUGCAUCAUACCCGUGGCAAGGUAGGACAUGCAGUUUUCUAUUUUUACAAUCUAUUAUUUGGACAUUUGUAUCUUUAACAAUUCUUUCUAUAGUGCUCGUUCUAUAUGGAGACAAGAGUGAAUUUUUGGACCCUGCUGCAAGAAUAUUUUAAAGGGCUUUUAGAGACACGACAGAUGUAUAGAACAGCAAUACAAAUAUAUUUCUUACUGACUUAAUAUGUAAAUGAAGCAGAACGCCCCAAGUGAUGAAAGGCUUUUAAAAUGGGGAUACCCUUUUCUCUUUCCUACACUUAACAUACCCAUAUCAUAAUCUGGCCAAGGUGAGCUACUCGUCGCUUCCUGAAACCAGUCAGUAGAGUUUCAUGCAUUGCUUAGAGAGUGGUGUUAAAAAAAUAAAGAAAAAUUGAAAAAACACUCAUCUACGGGAUAAGCUCAGCACUCUAACUGAUCUGCCAUACAGCAGGCUACUGCACUGCCAGUCUGCAGCCAGAUGGGCUCCAGUAGGGUUUUUAAGUAAACUUGUAUGAAUGCCUUUCUCCCACCACCAGAAACUGUUUAACCUGGGCUGUUAAACUGAUGUGGCCAGAAAUAAGUAUGUCUAAUUGUCAAAACUCUGCGGCCCACAUGACAGUUUCACCAUGAUUAAACUGCAGAAAGCUAAAUUGGAUGAUUCAAGACCCAAAUGUGUGUAUACGUACACAAGUAAGUUAGGGCUGUAUCUCUGAUGUUUUGUCCUUCCUUUCAUUACACCUGGUUACAUUACAGUUCAAUUCUCAGGUGUUGCAGAAAAUCUACCUCUUUGGACUGUAGAUGGAAAUAACUGUGAAAAAAGUGAUGCAGAAAUCUAGUUUGUGCUAAACACACUGCUUUAUUUUUACAACCCAUGUCUGCUUUCAUGAGGAAAAAUGAUAAAUGAACAGGCAGUCUUUGUUUUGCUUUUCAAGAACAUUUUGUAGAGAUUUUUCACUAAUGUGAAUCUGAAAUUUUAUCUACUCGAUUCUGUAUAGAUUAAGUAAAUAAGUAUGCUUAAUA